AACAGAAUUAAUCGUAAAAAUCGCCCAGCACUAAAUACAGUUACAUAAAAUCAGGUAGUUACAAGAAAUGUGUUGGUCUGACACCAACUGAUUAAUGUGGUCGCAAGCACAGCAGACAAGAAAAUACCUGUAUGUCCAUUCAGGGUUAAAUUUUAUAUGCUCGAGAUCCACUUUUCUUUGUUUACUCGUAUUGGUUUGGACAAACAUGGUACCGCUGAAGUAACUUGUAUUUACAUCAUUUACUUUUCAGUCGCAAGUUCAUGGAAUUACCCGGUGAAUUUAAAGUGACAGCAUCAUUUAUUUAAAAAUGCAUCAGCACUUCAUUUGGCGGGCCGGAUCGAGAGUUUUGCCGGGCCGGAUCUGGCCCGCGGGACGUAUGUUGUGCACCCCUGAUCUACAGGAUCAUAUCAGGGCACAGAUCUGGAGAAGGGGACAGAAAAAAUGCUGCAACUUUACAGAUGGACAAACUUCAGGAGUUCAGAGAUCCAACAAUAAACUGGAUCAUCUGAUUCUGAUUGUGGGAUGCAGGACUUCUUACUUUGCUCUUUACAGCAGAACACACACAAGCAGACGAUGUUCAUCAGUACAGAAACUGAUGUGAUUAUAAUGAUGAUCCAGUAGAAACCAGGACCUGAAGACGUUUUAAGAUCAGGAGGCUCAGUCUUGUUUUCAGAUGUUUGAUUUUGAUGAUCUGAAAUAUAAACAGGAAGUGAAACAGUGCUGAGGAAAAUCUGUGGUUCUGUACAAUAAACAGUGAAACACUUCAGAACAA
Molecule: long non-coding RNA, 772 nt
Organism: Trichomycterus rosablanca
Lineage: Eukaryota; Metazoa; Chordata; Actinopteri; Siluriformes; Trichomycteridae
Exons: 3
Source: RefSeq, a predicted model, not a curated record